UACGUAGGGUCCAAGCGUUAUCCGGAUUUAUUGGGCGUAAAGCACUUGUAGGUGGUUUAAUAAGUCUUCUCUUAAAUCUCCAAGCUCAACUUGGAACCUGGAGAAGAUACUAUUAGGCUAGUGGUCAGCAGGGGCAAAUGGAAUUCCCGGUGUAGGAGUGAAAUCCGUUGAUAUCGGGAGGAACACCAAUGGCGAAGGCAAUUUGCUAGGCUGAUUCAGACACUGAGAUGUGAAAGCGUGGGGAGCGAACGGG
RNAcentral lists this ribosomal RNA (253 nucleotides) under uncultured bacterium. Its description in RNAcentral is "partial 16S ribosomal RNA". It matches the Rfam family "Bacterial small subunit ribosomal RNA", at positions 524 to 776 of the family's 1533-position model. The record is from RNAcentral.